RNAcentral lists this ribosomal RNA (655 nucleotides) under uncultured bacterium. RNAcentral's name for it is "bacterial SSU rRNA". It matches the Rfam family "Bacterial small subunit ribosomal RNA", at positions 93 to 783 of the family's 1533-position model. The record is from RNAcentral.
UAGUGGCGGACGGGUGAGUAACACGUGGGAACGUGCCUUUAGGUUCGGAAUAACUCAGGGAAACUUGAGCUAAUACCGGAUGUGCCCUUCGGGGGAAAGAUUUAUCGCCUUUAGAGCGGCCCGCGUCUGAUUAGCUAGUUGGUGAGGUAAAGGCUCACCAAGGCGACGAUCAGUAGCUGGUCUGAGAGGAUGAUCAGCCACAUUGGGACUGAGACACGGCCCAAACUCCUACGGGAGGCAGCAGUGGGGAAUCUUGCGCAAUGGGCGAAAGCCUGACGCAGCCAUGCCGCGUGAAUGAUGAAGGUCUUAGGAUUGUAAAAUUCUUUCACCGGGGACGAUAAUGACGGUACCCGGAGAAGAAGCCCCGGCUAACUUCGUGCCAGCAGCCGCGGUAAUACGAAGGGGGCUAGCGUUGCUCGGAAUUACUGGGCGUAAAGGGAGCGUAGGCGGACAUUUAAGUCAGGGGUGAAAUCCCGGGGCUCAACCUCGGAAUUGCCUUUGAUACUGGGUGUCUUGAGUAUGAGAGAGGUGUGUGGAACUCCGAGUGUAGAGGUGAAAUUCGUAGAUAUUCGGAAGAACACCAGUGGCGAAGGCGACACACUGGCUCAUUACUGACGCUGAGGCUCGAAAGCGUGGGGAGCAAACAGGAUUAGAU